This 495-nucleotide ribosomal RNA is filed under the name uncultured bacterium. RNAcentral describes it as "partial 16S ribosomal RNA". It matches the Rfam family "Bacterial small subunit ribosomal RNA", at positions 28 to 507 of the family's 1533-position model. The record is from RNAcentral.
GACGAACGCUGGCGGCGUGCCUAAUACAUGCAAGUAGAACGCUGAAGGCGGAGCUUGCUUCUCUGGAUGAGUUGCGAACGGGUGAGUAACGCGUAGGUAACCUGCCUGGUAGCGGGGGAUAACUAUUGGAAACGAUAGCUAAUACCGCAUAAGAGUAGAUGUUGCAUGACAUUUGCUUAAAAGGUUCAAUUGCUUCACUACCAGAUGGACCUGCGUUGUAUUAGCUAGUUGGUGGGGUAACGGCUUACCAAGGCGACGAUACAUAGCCGACCUGCGAGGGUGAGUAGCCAGCCUGGGACUGAGACACGGCACAGUGGGCUUGAGGAGGCGCCCGGACGGAAUCGUGAGGCAUGGGUGGAAGUCUGAGCAAGAAACGCCGAGUGAGGGAAGAAGGAUGUCGGGUCGGGAAGGUCUGGUGUAAGGGAAGAAAGAGUGUGAGAGUGGAAAGUUCACACAGUGACGGUAUCUGAUCAGAAAGGGACGGCUAACUACGUG